UGUCGUCAGCUCGUGUUGUGAAAUGUUGGGUUAAGUCCCGCAACGAGCGCAACCCUUAUCCUUUGUUGCCAGCGGUCCGGCCGGGAACUCAAAGGAGACUGCCAGUGAUAAACUGGAGGAAGGUGGGGAUGACGUCAAGUCAUCAUGGCCCUUACGACCAGGGCUACACACGUGCUACAAUGGCGCAUACAAAGAGAAGCGACCUCGCGAGAGCAAGCGGACCUCAUAAAGUGCGUCGUAGUCCGGAUUGGAGUCUGCAACUCGACUCCAUGAAGUCGGAAUCGCUAGUAAUCGUGGAUCAGAAUGCCACGGUGAAUACGUUCCCGGGCCUUGUA
This 335-nucleotide ribosomal RNA is filed under the name Escherichia coli. RNAcentral describes it as "bacterial SSU rRNA". It matches the Rfam family "Bacterial small subunit ribosomal RNA", at positions 1050 to 1385 of the family's 1533-position model. Lineage: Bacteria; Pseudomonadati; Pseudomonadota; Gammaproteobacteria; Enterobacterales; Enterobacteriaceae. The record is from RNAcentral. RNAcentral also lists the same sequence under 1 other name.